GAUGAACGCUGGCGGCGUGCCUAAUACAUGCAAGUCGAGCGAACAGACGAGGAGCUUGCUCCUCUGACGUUAGCGGCGGACGGGUGAGUAACACGUGGAUAACCUACCUAUAAGACUGGGAUAACUUCGGGAAACCGGAGCUAAUACCGGAUAAUAUAUUGAACCGCAUGGUUCAAUAGUGAAAGACGGUUUUGCUGUCACUUAUAGAUGGAUCCGCGCCGCAUUAGCUAGUUGGUAAGGUAACGGCUUACCAAGGCAACGAUGCGUAGCCGACCUGAGAGGGGGAUCGGCCACACUGGAACUGAGACACGUCCCAGACCCCUACGGUAGGCAGCAGUAGGGAAUCUUCCGCAAUGGGCGAGAGCCUGACAGAGCAACGCCGCGUGAGUGAUGAAGGUCUUCGGAUCGUAAAACUCUGUUAUUAGGGGAGAACAAAUGUGUAAGUAACUGUGCACGUCUUGACGGUACCUGAUCAGAAAGCCACGGCUAACUACGUG
Molecule: ribosomal RNA, 497 nt
Filed under: uncultured bacterium
Lineage: Bacteria
Description: partial 16S ribosomal RNA
Rfam family: Bacterial small subunit ribosomal RNA
Source: RNAcentral